AACGAACGCUGGCGGCAUGCCUAACACAUGCAAGUCGAACGAGACCUUCGGGUCUAGUGGCGCACGGGUGCGUAAGGCGUGGGAACCUGCCCUUAGGUUCGGAAUCACUCCCCGAAAGGGGUGCUAAUCCCGGAUAAUUUCUUCGGACCAACGAUUUAUCGCCUUUGGAUGGGCCCGCGUUGGAUUAGCUAGUUGGUAGGGUAAACGCCUACCAAGGCGACGAUCCAUAGCUGGUCUGAGGGGAUGCUCAGCCACACUGGGACUGAGACACGGCCCAGACGCCUACGGGAGGCAGCAGUGGUGAAUAUUGGACAGUGGGCGAAAGCCUGAUCCAGCAAGGCCGCGUGAGUGAUGAAGGCCUUAGGGUUGUAUAGCGCUUUUACCCGGGAUGUUAAUGACAGUACCGGGAGAAUAAGCUCCGGCUAACUCCGUG
Molecule: ribosomal RNA, 433 nt
Filed under: uncultured bacterium
Lineage: Bacteria
Description: partial 16S ribosomal RNA
Rfam family: Bacterial small subunit ribosomal RNA
Source: RNAcentral